UCGGAGGAAACGGUCACCUUGAUGGAAGGAAUGUGAGAGGAUCGAUCACCUUGAUGGAAGGAAUGUGAGAGGAACGAUCACCUUGAUGGAAGGAAUGUGAGAGGAUCGAUCACCUUGAUGGAAGGAAUGUGAGAGGAACGAUCACCUUGAUGGAAGGUACGUCGGAGGAAACGACCACCUUGAUGGAAGGAAUGUGAGAGGAACGAUCACCUUGAUGGAAGGUACGUCGGAGGAAACGACCAUCUUGAUGGAAGGAAUGUGAGAGGAACGAUCACCUUGAUGGAAGGAAUGUGAGAGGAUCGAUCACCGUGAUGGAAGGUACGUCGGAGGAAACGACCACCUUGAUGGAAGGAAUGUGAGAGGAACGAUCACCGUGAUGGAAGGAAUGUGAGAGGAUCGAUCACCGUGAUGGAAGGAAUGUGAGAGGAUCGAUCACCGUGAUGGAAGGUACGUCGGAGGAAACGACCACCUUGAUGGAAGGAAUGUGAGAGGAACGAUCACCUUGAUGGAAGGAACGUCAGAGGAAACGACCACCUUGAUGGAAGGAACGUCUGAGGAAAUGGUCACCUUGAUGGAAGGAAUGUUGAAGGAAAUGGUCACUUUGAUGGAAGGAACGUCUGAGUAAACGGUCACCUGGAUGGAAGGAACGUUGGAGGAAACAUUGUCGGGAGAUGCAGCGGUACAAGGAGGUUUAUGAGAAAUCCAAAGGCCCAGAACCUCUUCAUACCCGAUGUAGAGUUGCAGCAUUCCAAGAACAUCCGCGCGUUCAUCUCUGAGUUCAAGUACAAAGGUGAGAAAGUCUCCUCUGGUUCGGCUUACUCUCAACUCCCUGAGACGAUGGAGACGGAGACAGAGAGAGCUCGAGCGCUCACAGAGACGCAGAGCAAGUACAAAGAGAGCGGGAAGAAAAAUAUCUCCCAAAUCAUCUAUCUGGUCUAGCUGAUACCAUGGAUACCCAAUCUGUCAGAAAUGUGUCUGAACUGCAAAGUCAGGUGAAAAGAGCAGCAGACGAAGUACAAGAAGGCAGUGGAGAAGAAGGCAAGGUCUCUCUACUCUGUGAUGCGAGAGACUCUGGAGACCCAACAUGCCAAGCGGUCUCCCAGCUCCAGAUCCAGGCCAAGUACAAGGAGGCAGGGAAGCAGCAGUUCUCCACUUCUCUCUACUCAAAGCUUCCAGAGACUUUGGAGACUCAGCACGCCAAAGAGGCCUCCCAGCUACAGAGUGUGCUGAAAUACAAGCAAGGUGGCUAAAAGGAUACCUCCAGUUCUCUGUACUCCCUGCUUCCAGAAACGACAGAGAUCCAGCUAGCCAAAGAGCACCAGGAUAUUAACAGUGAGUUCACUCAUCUUGAUUUUCAUAUUGAAAAAAUACUUAAUUUUGUGGGGUUUUUUGCUAAAUUUGAGCAAAAUGACAAAAGUGACACGCAGGAACUGUCCAUCUGCUUGUACACACAACUCCCUGAAACCAUGGAGACCAAGUUUGCUGAAGAAAUGUCUCAAGAAAUGUCUCAGGGAAGAAACAGGCUUCAGAUUCUCUGGACUCCACCUCAAAACUAUGGAGACCCAGCACACCGAAGAGGCUUCCCAGCUACAGAGUGAGACAGCAGGGGCGGACUGAGACCAGAAAUUGUCCCUGGCAUUUCUAACCCACCGGACCAUUUUUUCCCCUUAAGGCCCCAAUUAUUAACCAAAUUAUUAUCAUUUUGCGCAAAGAAACAACAACUUAGACAGGCCCACUGGGCUAGAAAAGAACCGGCCAGUCCACCCCUGUGAGGUAAAGUAAAGACCAAAUGUGCCCUAUGCUAUAUUCCACCAAUUCUAAGAUACACAUAAAGGCAGUGUUUUUAACCAUACACAUUUAGAAAUAAAUGCUGUGAUAAGUAUUUUCAGUGAAAAUAUCAUCCUAGGGCUUAUUGAGUUUUCCAAUUUGUCUUCUUUCCAUAACAAGUACAAGGAGAAUGUGAAACUGGCUUAAUACUGUUGUCUGUACGCUCA
Molecule: long non-coding RNA, 1994 nt
Organism: Salvelinus namaycush (lake trout)
Lineage: Eukaryota; Metazoa; Chordata; Actinopteri; Salmoniformes; Salmonidae
Exons: 9
Source: RefSeq, a predicted model, not a curated record